UGCGAUUCUUUUCUUUCUGCCUA
RNAcentral lists this non-coding RNA (23 nucleotides) under Arabidopsis thaliana (thale cress). The record is from RNAcentral. Lineage: Eukaryota; Viridiplantae; Streptophyta; Magnoliopsida; Brassicales; Brassicaceae.